UCCUGGGUGGCUCAGUUGGUAAAGAAUCUGCCUGCAGUGCAGAAGACUCAGGUUCAAUCCCUGGGUCAGGAA
Molecule: non-coding RNA, 72 nt
Organism: Capra hircus (goat)
Lineage: Eukaryota; Metazoa; Chordata; Mammalia; Artiodactyla; Bovidae
Source: the annotation of a RefSeq genome assembly